Lacerta agilis (Sand lizard) is the source of this 821-nucleotide long non-coding RNA. RefSeq lists it as uncharacterized. The transcript is spliced from 2 exons. The record is from RefSeq and is a predicted model, not a curated record. Lineage: Eukaryota; Metazoa; Chordata; Lepidosauria; Squamata; Lacertidae.
CCCCGGAACGUAAACACUGGGGCGGGGGAGGCGGCGGCAGCGGCGGCGCGGGAGAGCCGCGCUUGGGGCGCCCUCCGCGCAGGACCGCGGCCGGUUCUCCCAGGCGCGCAUGUUGGCGAAGGAUGCUGGCUGGUCACGAGUGCGCUCGAGCACGCAGGCGCUGCAAGCUGCGCGUGUGCAUGCGGACGUACACGGAAGAGUCAGAUCCAUAUUGCCAGAGCCACCAUAGGGCAAGUUCUGUCUUCUAUGGAUCAUCUCGUGUCAGUUUGGAGGAGAGGGGUGAUUCCUUCCCCGUAAACACCCCCCUCAAUGCCCCACCCCCAAAGGAUGAGCAUCUGUGUGUAGGCAGAGGCUGAGCUGGAAACCAGGAAGUUCUUGACAUCUCACCUGUCAGGUGAUCUCAGGUAAUCUGCUCUCAACUGUGGCCCUCCUGUUUGCAACAUGGCAAAGGAAUGAAGGUGGUGGUGGUAGCCUACUCUGCAGGGUUGUUGUACGGAUUUGGGACAACUUCCAUUCUCAUAAAAUUUCAGCAGAGCUAAAGAACUUUUUUACAACCCCUUUAUCAAUGGUAUUUAAUGCCUUAUAAAUUGAAAUUAAUGUAUGAAUUAGUAUUUGAUAAAUGUUGGGAGAUUUGGAUUAAAUAAAGCAAAUCACAUACAUAUCGUUUGGAAUUCUGAAAUCGAACUAUUCUGGAAAUCUGUUCAAGCUUAUAUCUUUUUAUAUGUUAGGAUAUAGUAUCCCCUUGGAACCUUAAGAAUUUUUGCUUGGGUAUCUAACAUAUAUUAUUCUGGAAAAUGAUCAAUAAAUAGUGGUCAACCUUG